CUUGCCCCAAGAAGGGCUACAGGAGUGGCUGCUGUGUCACAUAUGCCAGUAGGUGACAAAGAGGAGAGAGGCUAUGUCUACACUCAAGUGUUCUGACCUGUGACCAUCUGAAUCAUUAGUGGCCUAACAUU
This is a small nucleolar RNA of Acomys russatus (golden spiny mouse), 131 nucleotides long. RefSeq annotates it as small nucleolar RNA SNORA17. The transcript has a single exon. Lineage: Eukaryota; Metazoa; Chordata; Mammalia; Rodentia; Muridae. The record is from RefSeq and is a predicted model, not a curated record.